This 72-nucleotide transfer RNA is filed under the name Sulfolobus acidocaldarius DSM 639. Its description in RNAcentral is "tRNA-Asn". It matches the Rfam family "tRNA". Rfam says of the family: Transfer RNA (tRNA) molecules are approximately 80 nucleotides in length. Their secondary structure includes four short double-helical elements and three loops (D, anti-codon, and T loops). Further hydrogen bonds mediate the characteristic L-shaped molecular structure. tRNAs have two regions of fundamental functional importance: the anti-codon, which is responsible for specific mRNA codon recognition, and the 3' end, to which the tRNAs corresponding amino acid is attached (by aminoacyl-tRNA synthetases). tRNAs cope with the degeneracy of the genetic code in two manners: having more than one tRNA (with a specific anti-codon) for a particular amino acid; and 'wobble' base-pairing, i.e. permitting non-standard base-pairing at the 3rd anti-codon position. Lineage: Archaea; Thermoproteati; Thermoproteota; Thermoprotei; Sulfolobales; Sulfolobaceae. The record is from RNAcentral.
GCCGCGGUAGCUCAGUUGGCAGAGCGCCGGGCUGUUAACACCCGGUGGUCGGUGGUCCGAGUCCACCCCGCG